Molecule: ribosomal RNA, 497 nt
Filed under: uncultured bacterium
Lineage: Bacteria
Description: partial 16S ribosomal RNA
Rfam family: Bacterial small subunit ribosomal RNA
Source: RNAcentral
GAUGAACGCUGGCGGCGUGCCUAAUACAUGCAAGUCGAGCGAACAGACGAGGAGCUUGCUCCUCUGACGUUAGCGGCGGACGGGUGAGUAACACGUGGAUAACCUACCUAUAAGACUGGGAUAACUUCGGGAAACCGGAGCUAAUACCGGAUAAUAUAUUGAACCGCAUGGUUCAAUAGUGAAAGACGGUUUUGCUGUCACUUAUAGAUGGAUCCGCGCCGCAUUAGCUAGUUGGUAAGGUAACGGCUUACCAAGGCAACGAUGCGUAGCCGACCUGAGAGGGUGAUCGGCCACACUGGAACUGAGACACGGUCCAGACUCCUACGGGAGGCAGCAGUAGGGAAUCUUCCGCAAGGGGCGAAAGCUUGACGAAGCAACGCCGCGUGGGUAAUGAAGGUCUUCGGAUCGUAAAACUCUGUUAGUAGGGAAGAACAAAUGUGUAAGUAACUAUGCACGUCUUGACGGUACCUAAUCAGAAAGCCACGGCUAACUACGUG